GAUAUUUUUACUAUGCAAUUGGAGGGGAGGAAAAAGAGAUCUUGGAGAUUCAGUGGAUGAAAAAGAAAUGCAGUGUCUCUAAAAUGUUUCAUGAUGGUUUUGUGAUUGAUAAUGGUUCAAAAUAGCCAGUAUGGUCUGUGUACAAGUUUUCCAAUAUCACUAGCACCCCUAUACCAUAUGUAGGUUGAAACGCCUGUUAUAUAAAAUGA
This 209-nucleotide long non-coding RNA is filed under the name Phaseolus vulgaris (common bean). RNAcentral's name for it is "long non-coding RNA (PVUL_LNC000699)". Lineage: Eukaryota; Viridiplantae; Streptophyta; Magnoliopsida; Fabales; Fabaceae. The record is from RNAcentral.